Long non-coding RNA from Gasterosteus aculeatus aculeatus (three-spined stickleback), 932 nucleotides. The record is from Ensembl. NCBI's taxonomy places the organism in Eukaryota, Metazoa, Chordata, Actinopteri, Perciformes, Gasterosteidae.
GGGAGAGGGCACAGAACUCUACACAGGUCAGCGUUGUUAUGGACCUGGACGUGGAGAGUCCACUGGCUUAUCUGUCACCUGGCCUCCACGGCCCAACAGGCUCCUGUGUGAAGAAGUAAAGAGUGGAGCUGUCAGAGGAAUCUGGAGACGGAAAAGGCUGGCCUUUGCACGCACCUGUCACUGUCCUCGUAAUCAAGCUCCUGCACCUGAUCUGCAAUCACCAGGGUAUAAGAGGGAGAACCGGACAACCAGCCGACGUCGGAUCGUCACCUAAGUCACUUGCACCUGUCUGUUCCUGCACGCUGGAUUCUCACCGGAUAUUGUACACCUGGGAAUUCACUCUCACCAUCCGCACUCCUCACGCCUGUUCCUGCCGCUCACCUACCCUUGUGUCAGCGAAUAAAUCUGACUUUCACUUGCUUUCUGACUGCCGUGUCGUUUACGUUCUGCGUUUGGGUUCAGUCCCACUACAACACCUGACAGUAUACUGUGAUUUUCCCCUCUCAGACUCGCCUGUCCCAGAGCGACACCCCAUACACUAAGCACUGUGGCGUCACACAGGCACACAAACACACACAAUAUCAUAUAAGCUACUCUCACUUACCAGGUAACAGUAACGUUGCUGUAGAAUAUUCGGGUUGGUUUUGUGUAACGUUGACCUUUGGCUCAUCAUGAUCUGUGGCAGUGUCACACGACGCGGCUGUAGCUUCAGGGACGGACUUUUGAAAACACUGAAAUUGUGUUUGGGUCUGUUUACAUUACAUAUGUUUUUACUUUUAAACUUUGUACAAACUCUCUAAUCUGAGAAUGGCUCUGACGGGCUCUGAGGAAAAACCACGCAAAGAAUGACUGCCAAACAACUUAUUGUUGCUUAGUUACAACGUUGCGUCCGAUAGGGGGCAAGGAAGCCCCAAAGACCCAAAUGUCAGUGC